AACAAUUAAAUUAGCCAACAUGUGACAAUUCUAGGCCAAGUGGCCGGUCAAGAAAAGAAAAGAAGAGAAGGAGUAGAUAAGGAUAAGGAAGAAAAGAAAAUAUAAGAAAAAGUAGAAAGAAAAAGAGCAAGAAAGAAAAAAAAGAAAAGAGAGAGAAAGAGAAGAACGGCAAAAAAACCGUGAGAGAGAGAGAGAGGAGAAGAGGCCGAAGCCAUGGAUGGAAAGAAGAAGGAGAGGCUUCAGCAGCCCCUUAUAUGGGUAGGAGAGAAGAGGAUCUCCAUUGAAGAUGGAAGAGAAGAAGAAGAAGAAGGUAAAAUNNNNNNNNNNNNNNNNNNNNNNNNNNNNNNNNNNNNNNNNNNNNNNNNNNNNNNNNNNNNNNNNNNNNNNNNNNNNNNNNNNNNNNNNNNNNNNNNNNNNCUUUAUCUUUUGUAAUUGAUGAUUUGGGUUUUUUGAUUUGGGAGUUAAAACCCUAAGAUAUAUGUGAUUUAUAUAGAUUCAUGUAUGGAUUUAGCUAUUUUGGGUGUUGAUUUGGUUUGAAACCAAAAGAAGAGAAAAAUAAAUUUUUUCUAGUUUAGAAACUCAAAAUUUCUAUAUACUUUGAAAUUUCACCGUUUUAAAUCUAUGACUUCUUUUUGCCAUCCGUCAAAAAGGGAUGUUAGAUAUAUGUGUUAAGUAGUUAACCCAAGUGGUAGUACUCAAAAAUGUUGAGUUUACAUGGGGUAGUGACUGAUUUGGUGAAAACAGUUCCGUUUUUUUAUAACCAAAAAUGGACAGUUUCGGGGCAGCCAAUGUCAGGGGCAAUUUCGUCCAGUUUUUUUGCUUUAAAAAUUCUGGGCUUUUGGUAUGUUGUAGUACUCUGUUUUAGCUUUCCAUAGACUCCGGAACGGACUAAUUCCGACUCCGGAUGAGGUAGUUAUGGCGUUCGGAAGGUGCGUAGCAAAACUGUUCCUCAAUUUCCGAACAGCCUUCUUGAUGUAAAUUUUUGGACUGUUGUGUUCUGAUUUUGGAAAAAUGUCGUGAGACAAAAGUUGUAGCCCUGGAAGUUAUCUUCGCGUGGGCUCAAGAAUCGCUCAAAAAUGUUUUAAAACGCGAGAGUUAUGGCUGUUUUAGUGAGGCUGGGUAAAAUUUUCAAAAAAAAUCAAAAGUGUCCAAAAAUAGGAAAAAUGCGAUGUAUGAAGUGAGACCCGUGAGCAUGGCGUAUGCAAGUUUGUAAUGAAGUUUUGGGUCGGGUUUAAGGUGUUGUGAUGUUUAUGACAUUUUAAAAUGUUUAAACAAGUUUAUUAAUUACGGGAAGGAAAACAAUUGAAAUAAUUGUUUAUUUAAGUGAUUAAUGACAUAAAUUAUUCUUAUGUGACUAAUAAUAUGGUAUUAAGAUAUUAUUAGUAGUAUGUGACUGAAAUGUUAUUAAAAGGUUAGUAACCUUAGUGUAAAUGUUAUUACAUAAUUAAUAAUAUUUGACGGGAGAUUUAAUAAGAGAUUUAUGAUAUUUUGAGGUUUUCGGUGCUCAAAAUGAAGUUUUUGAGCUGAGAUUUACGUAACGAAGCAAAAAUGCGAAUAAUCGUAAAAUGAAAAAUAAAGCGAAUGUGCUAGUGAGAUAAAAUGUUUAUAUAUGAGGCAAUAGUCAAUGUUGACUCAUGAACGGACAAACUGAAGUAAAAGUUAUUUAAAGUGAAGAAAUAAUAUAGUAAAUUGAUUUUUACUAUAAAAGCUAUACAUUAGCUGUUUAAACUCCGAAUUUGCGAGUAGAGGUAAAAGAUAUUUCUAAAAUGAAAUUUAAAUGGUUUAAGUUUCAAGGUGUAAAAUAUUUGCAUCUUAAAAUGUGUGAGACCUUUAUUAUUUAUGAAACAAGUAAAAUAUUAUUACAUGAUUAAUAAUAUUAGAAGGUGAUUACAAUAUUAUUAAAUGAUUAAUAAUAUUAGUAAAGGAUUUAAAUAUUAUUAAAUGAUUAAUAAUAUUUGUAAAUGAUAAAUAUUCUAUAAAAAGAAUAUUAGGCAAAAGUUUAAGAUAAUGGAUAAGUGAUAGUAAUAUUAUUAAGGGAUAAUAAUAUUACUAAUGAGUUAAAGAAUUAUUUAAUGUUUAAUUAUGUGGCUAAAUGUUAGCUAAUUUAUUAUUUGAGUAAUAGUGUUGUGGGAUAAAAUGUAUUAUGCUAAUUGGAGGAUCGAUCUUAUUAAUGAUAGGUCUUUUAUAAGAGAUUAAAUUGAUUGCUUAGCGGUAAUCAACGGUACAGGCAAGUUCCUAAACUUGAACUUCUAAUUAUUGUGCAAGUUUCCUAACUCAACUUGAGUUGUUAAUUCAAAGCAUGUUAGUGGUUAAUUAUUGUUGAUUAUACCACGUCAAUAAAUUAUUGAUUCGCACAUUGUGCAUGUUGUAUAUGUUCAUCAGGUAUGAAAGGCUGAUCACCUUCAUUACCAUAUGUUUCAGUUAAACUUGUUCAUGUUAAUUGUUGACAUCCAUUAUUAUUGGUUCAGUCAUUCAAUCGUUGAAAAAUUGAUUCAUGUUAUUUCACAAUUAUUAUAUUGUUGAAAACUUGAAAGCUUAUCCAUUCUUUUCAAUCAUGAUAUAUCUCCUUUGUAUGUAAAACUUGCUGGGCAAAUUUGUUGCUCACCCUUGCUAUAUCAUGAUAAAAUUUUCAGAUUAAGAUGAAGGCUUGAAUAAGGACAGAGGCAAAGACAAAGUGCAAAGUUUCUUUAUGUUGUAGUUAAAUUUAUUAAAUUUUCUGAUGAAAAUAGUAUUGUAAAUCUUCUAAGAUAUUGAAGGUAUGUAUUAAGUUAAGGUUGUAGACCUUGGGGAAUGAUGUGUAAAG
This 2803-nucleotide long non-coding RNA is filed under the name Panax ginseng (ginseng). RNAcentral's name for it is "long non-coding RNA (PGIN_LNC010456)". Lineage: Eukaryota; Viridiplantae; Streptophyta; Magnoliopsida; Apiales; Araliaceae. The record is from RNAcentral.